RNAcentral lists this ribosomal RNA (253 nucleotides) under uncultured bacterium. Its description in RNAcentral is "partial 16S ribosomal RNA". It matches the Rfam family "Bacterial small subunit ribosomal RNA", at positions 524 to 776 of the family's 1533-position model. The record is from RNAcentral.
UACGAAGGGUGCAAACGUUGCUCGGAAUUACUGGGCGUAAAGCGUACGCAGGCGGCUUUGCAAGACAGGUGUGAAAUCCCCGGGCCUAACCUGGGAACUGCAUUUGUGACUGCAUAGCUAGAGUUUGUCAGAGGGGGGUGGAAUUCCACGUGUAGCAGUGAAAUGCGUAGAUAUGUGGAGGAACACCGAUGGCGAAGGCAGCCCCCUGGGAUGUGACUGACGCUCAUGUACGAAAGCGUGGGGAGCAAACAGG